This 101-nucleotide small RNA is filed under the name Salmonella enterica. RNAcentral describes it as "partial RtT sRNA". It matches the Rfam family "RtT RNA", at positions 1 to 99 of the family's 130-position model. Rfam says of the family: This family represents a bacterial cis-regulatory element known as RtT RNA. The exact function of RtT is unknown although it is thought that it may be involved in changing the cellular response in relation to amino acid starvation. The record is from RNAcentral. Lineage: Bacteria; Pseudomonadati; Pseudomonadota; Gammaproteobacteria; Enterobacterales; Enterobacteriaceae. RNAcentral also lists the same sequence under 5 other names.
AUAUCUCUCUGUACGGGAAGGAUGAGAAGCUUCGACUAAGGUUCGAUUCGAGCGUCAGCGAGAAAGCGUUGCCGCAGGCAACGACCCGAAGGGCGAAGCGC